Molecule: ribosomal RNA, 513 nt
Filed under: uncultured Actinomyces sp.
Lineage: Bacteria; Bacillati; Actinomycetota; Actinomycetes; Actinomycetales; Actinomycetaceae
Description: bacterial SSU rRNA
Rfam family: Bacterial small subunit ribosomal RNA
Source: RNAcentral
UAGAGUUUGACUCCGUGGCUCGAGGACGAACGCUGGCGGCGUGCUUAACACAUGCAAGUCGAACGGUGAAGCUCCUGGCUUUUGUUGGGGUGGAUGAGUGGCGAACGGGUGAGUAACACGUGAGUAACCUGCCCCUUUCUUCUGGAUACCGCCACGAAAGUGGUGUUAAUACGGGAUAUUCUGGCCUGUCCGCAUGGGUGGGUUGGGAAAGGUUUUUUCUGGUGGGGGAUGGGCUCGCGGCCUAUCAGCUUGUUGGUGGGGUGAUGGCCUACCAAGGCGUUGACGGGUAGCCGGCCUGAGAGGGUGGACGGCCACACUGGGACUGAGACACGGCCCAGACUCCUACGGGAGGCAGCAGUGGGGAAUAUUGCACAAUGGGCGGAAGCCUGAUGCAGCGACGCCGCGUGAGGGAUGGAGGCCUUCGGGUUGUGAACCUCUUUCGCCAGUGAAGCAGGCCCGCUCCUUGUGGGUGGGUUGACGGUAGCUGGAUAAGAAGCGCCGGCUAACUACGUG